AUAGUUAUAUUGUCAAGAAUAGAGUAAAUGAAUUUCGUCCGUCCAAUUACUAUCAACCUAGAAGGAUGCAUAAUCCUAACGUGACUUGUCAUAUUGUAGACGAAUUGGACAUAUUGCUCCUGCUUGUUUUACACGACAUAGACAUAACAGUCAAUCACAUCACUAUGAUUUGCCUAACCCCGAAGGACCCAAAAUGGCAUGGGUACCUAAAACUCAUUAAUCU
Molecule: long non-coding RNA, 223 nt
Filed under: Nicotiana benthamiana
Lineage: Eukaryota; Viridiplantae; Streptophyta; Magnoliopsida; Solanales; Solanaceae
Description: long non-coding RNA (NBEN_LNC039677)
Source: RNAcentral